GUGAUGGGUAGGGAGCGUCGUGUGCCGGGUGAAGCAGCGCCGGAAGGUAGUUGUGGACGGUUCACGAGUGAGAAUGCAGGCAUGAGUAGCGAUUCACACGUGAGAAACGUGUGCGCCGAUUGAACGUAACGGUUCCGUGGUCAAGCUGAUCUCGCCCGAAGGGUAACGUGGGACCCUUAAAGGCGAGGCCGACAGGCGUAGUCGAUGGAUAACCGGUUGAUAUUCCGGUACCCGCUGUGAAGCGUCA
Molecule: non-coding RNA, 247 nt
Filed under: Streptomyces afghaniensis 772
Lineage: Bacteria; Bacillati; Actinomycetota; Actinomycetes; Kitasatosporales; Streptomycetaceae
Description: Bacterial large subunit ribosomal RNA
Rfam family: Bacterial large subunit ribosomal RNA
Source: Rfam by way of RNAcentral